GAAAAAAACCCUAGAAUCGAAUCCUCUUUACGUUGAGGAUCUUCAAAAGUCUUCUUUGUAUAUAACCUAAUCGAUCAGCGGUUCAGAGAAACGGUUAUGGUUUUUUCUAAUUAUAUCGUCGGCGCUAGUGAAGAUCCGGUGACGAAGACUUGCAUGAACGCUAUGGCGGUGAAGAUACUCGCUCUAGGAUCUGUUUUGGCGGUUCUAAGUUCUAAUGGUUAUUUCAAUAAAAAUAUUCGGCUUCGUGAAUCGUAAUUCGUGACAAUCAGCGACGGAGAUCGCGACGGAGAGACUGGGGAAUUCGUUUCCGAUAACGGUGGUGGUCUGGUGGAGGACUGCUUUGCCGUAAGAUUAGAGAUGGUGUCGUUUGGGCUCAGGACUAAGGUGCAAUUCUUCAAAGCCCAACAAUAUCAAUUUCAGCCCGCCAUAAAAGUCAAUUCUUAGCCCUAUUUUCUUUUUAGCCCUUAAAUUACUUAGAUUUACAAACUGAGAUAGAAGUUAUGAAUAUUUUUUUAUAAGGUUUUAAAAUUUUGAUUUUUUCCCAUCUAAGGGUUUUCAAAUUUAAUUUGGAUAUUAAAUUUAUAAAAUGAUAUGAAAGCUGACCGGAUUUUGAAUCCUGUCAUUUGACCU
This is a non-coding RNA of Arabidopsis thaliana (thale cress), 630 nucleotides long. The record is from RefSeq. NCBI's taxonomy places the organism in Eukaryota, Viridiplantae, Streptophyta, Magnoliopsida, Brassicales, Brassicaceae.